AUGAAAAACUGGCAGGGGAGAUACCAUGAUCACAAAGAUGGUUUUCCCAGGGUAAGGCUUAUCCAUUGUACUCUGGAUAUGCUGACCCCUGCGAUUUCCCCAAAUGUGGGACACUCGACUGCAUAAUUUGUGGUAGUGGGGGACCGCGUUCACACUCUCCCA
Molecule: small nuclear RNA, 162 nt
Filed under: Echinops telfairi (small Madagascar hedgehog)
Lineage: Eukaryota; Metazoa; Chordata; Mammalia; Afrosoricida; Tenrecidae
Description: U1 spliceosomal RNA (ENSETEG00000020861.1)
Rfam family: U1 spliceosomal RNA
About the family: U1 is a small nuclear RNA (snRNA) component of the spliceosome (involved in pre-mRNA splicing). Its 5' end forms complementary base pairs with the 5' splice junction, thus defining the 5' donor site of an intron.
Source: RNAcentral